RNAcentral lists this transfer RNA (87 nucleotides) under Pseudomonadota bacterium. RNAcentral describes it as "Proteobacteria bacterium (marine metagenome) tRNA-Ser". It matches the Rfam family "tRNA". Rfam says of the family: Transfer RNA (tRNA) molecules are approximately 80 nucleotides in length. Lineage: Bacteria; Pseudomonadati; Pseudomonadota. The record is from RNAcentral.
GGAGAGAUGGCCGAGUGGUUGAAGGCGGUAGACUCGAAAUCUAUUGUGCGUUUUAACGUACCGGGGGUUCGAAUCCCUCUCUCUCCG